AUCGGGUAGAGGUGCCUUUGGAGGGCCAGGAGGGGUCCCCGGGUAUGUCUCCCACCCAGCCGCCUUGGUGAGACCCGGGACGUCUCAGAGUGGUCCUGCUGGGGCGGAGGCUGCUCUGGUUCAUUCCCCAUGUCUUCUACAGGUCUGAGACAAUGAACAACACCCCAGAGCAGGUGUGCCCUGCAGGACUGGGGUGGCAGGAAGGCACAGACGCAGGGAAUGGCAGUAGCAGGAAAUGGGGGCUUCUCUUGAGCACACCUUCCAGAAGCGACUCCUGCACUCUGGUCGUCAGGCUUGGGCCCUCCAGUAGGCUUCUGCCUGGGAAGGCCACCUGGAGAAUGAAGGCAGCCACCAGCUCUGCCAGGCCUCGCAGGGCUGGACUUGGCCCAGGCCCUUCCACCGUGUGUUCACUAGUGCAGCCCACCUAUAGCAGGCCUCAGGCCAGAGGCCAGUGUUUGGGGCUCUCAUUGCCUUGUUCACUCACCUCUUCCUCACUGGUAACGCCAUGUUCUCCUAGUGACUAGGGACCAAGUGGCCCCUAGGCUAUUUGAUGUCCUCUUUCCCAAAAUGAGGGGCAACCCUUGAGCCCUGAUAAGACCCCCUGCCCUCCUACUGCUUCCUGAGGGGCAGCCACUCUGCCCUUCUGUGUGGAGAACAUUGUCCCGUUUCCUGGGAGCCGAAAGGGUACGGUAACCAAGCAGCCCACCACCCCAGGGGUGCGGGUGGGAGGCCUGGGCACCCACAGGUAGCCAUGUUUGGAAUGCUCCCCCAGGGAAGAACUUGGAUGCCCAACACCCCAGAUGCCUGUGAAGGGGACACGAGGAGCCCAUUUUUUCUCAUCAGCGUAAUUAGUCAAAUCAAAUCAAGCCACGCCGCCUGAUCCUUCUCUCAGGAAGGUAUAGAGACCCUGGAGGAAGUGCUGGCGUACUAUAGAGAGGGGCCCGGAACCACCAGGGAGCCCGGAAGCAGGGUCAGCAGUCGGGAAGGGCAGGCGAGAAGCAGUAGGGGAAGCGGGCCUUCAGGCACAGAGGGCCGUGCCACUGCUCCACCCUGGUGUCUGAGUGGGGCUGGGGUCCAAGCACAGCAUACCCCCCACUUCCUAGGGCUUCUUUCUGGCUGACUUGAAAGCUGGCUGAGACCCGGGCCCAGCGCAGGCUCUAGGAGCACAGCCUGAGUCUGGUCUGCUACUUCCCAACUGAUCUUGGGUGAUAAACCUUCCUAAGCUCAGUUUCUUCAUCUCCAAAACAGGCGCAGAACUCGCCGUCAGGUGGUUGGGAAGAUCACACAAGACAAUGUGUGAAGCAUACAUAGAUAAUAAACCCUGCUCUCGUGCAGUAACCCCAGCAUACAGGCGGGCAGAUGCACUGACAGUCCCC
RNAcentral lists this long non-coding RNA (1376 nucleotides) under Marmota monax (woodchuck). The record is from RNAcentral. Lineage: Eukaryota; Metazoa; Chordata; Mammalia; Rodentia; Sciuridae.